This 74-nucleotide transfer RNA is filed under the name Paroedura picta. Its description in RNAcentral is "tRNA-Leu". The record is from RNAcentral. Lineage: Eukaryota; Metazoa; Chordata; Lepidosauria; Squamata; Gekkonidae.
ACUUUCAAAGGACCACAGCUUUGCCCGCCAACCUUAGGAGUUGGCUACUCUUGGUGCAACUCCAAGUGAAAGUA